GACGUACUGCGCGAGCGUUAUUCGGAAUUACUGGGCUUAAAGGGUUCGCAGGCGGCUCUCUGAGUCCGACGUGAAAGGUCCCGGCCCAACCGGGGACGUGCUUCGGGGACUCGAGGGCUCGGGCGAGCUAGGGGUCUGUGGAACUCCCGGUGGAGCGGUGAAAUGUGUUGAGAUCGGGAGGAACGCCGGUGGCGAAAGCGACAGACUGGGGCUUUGCCGACGCUCAUGCACGAAAGCCAGGGGAGCGAACGGG
This 253-nucleotide ribosomal RNA is filed under the name uncultured bacterium. Its description in RNAcentral is "partial 16S ribosomal RNA". It matches the Rfam family "Bacterial small subunit ribosomal RNA", at positions 524 to 776 of the family's 1533-position model. The record is from RNAcentral.